CAGUCGCCGCGGUAAUACGAAGGGUGCAAGUGUUAAUCGGAAUUACUGGGCGUAAAGCGUGCGUAGGCGGUGAGUUAAGUCUGCUGUGAAAUCCCCGGGCUCAACCUGGGAAUGGCAGUGGAUACUGGCUCGCUAGAGUGUGUCAGAGGAUGGUGGAAUUCCCGGUGUAGCGGUGAAAUGCGUAGAGAUCGGGAGGAACAUCAGUGGCGAAGGCGGCCAUCUGGGACAACACUGACGCUGAGGCACGAAAGCGUGGGGAGCAAACAGGAUUAGAUACCCCAGUAGUCCCUGUCUCUUAUAC
Molecule: ribosomal RNA, 301 nt
Filed under: uncultured bacterium
Lineage: Bacteria
Description: partial 16S ribosomal RNA
Rfam family: Bacterial small subunit ribosomal RNA
Source: RNAcentral